This 29-nucleotide non-coding RNA is filed under the name Rattus norvegicus (Norway rat). Lineage: Eukaryota; Metazoa; Chordata; Mammalia; Rodentia; Muridae. The record is from RNAcentral.
GACCAAUCAAUGCGUUGCAAUUGGGCCUG